CCUGGCUCAGGAUGAACGCUGACAGAAUGCUUAACACAUGCAAGUCGAUGGGGAAGUGGUGCUUGCACCAUGGUAACCAUGGCGGACGGGUGAGUAACGCGUAAGGGACUUACCCGCGGGACUGGGAUAACAGCAGGAAACUGCUGACAAGACCGGAUAAGGUCAUGGAGCCGCAUGGUUACAUGAUGAAAGGAGACGCCUGCGGAGAGCCUUGCGUCCUAUUAGCUAGUUGGGGGGGUAACGGCCCACCAAGGCGAAGAUAGGUAGCCGGCCUGAGAGGGUGGACGGCCACAAGGGGACUGAGAUACGGCCCUUACUCCUACGG
This 325-nucleotide ribosomal RNA is filed under the name uncultured bacterium. Its description in RNAcentral is "bacterial SSU rRNA". It matches the Rfam family "Bacterial small subunit ribosomal RNA", at positions 18 to 344 of the family's 1533-position model. The record is from RNAcentral.